This 505-nucleotide ribosomal RNA is filed under the name Tetanocera oxia. Its description in RNAcentral is "partial 16S ribosomal RNA". It matches the Rfam family "Bacterial large subunit ribosomal RNA", at positions 1830 to 2597 of the family's 2925-position model. Lineage: Eukaryota; Metazoa; Arthropoda; Insecta; Diptera; Sciomyzidae. The record is from RNAcentral.
GUCCUUUUGAUUAUAUAUAAGGUCUAACCUGCCCACUGAAUUUAAAUGGCCGCAGUACCCUGACUGUGCAAAGGUAGCAUAAUAAUUAGUCUUUUAAUUGAAGGCUGGAAUGAAUGGUUGGACGAAAUAUAAGCUGUUUCAUUAUAAUUUAUAAUAGAAUUUUAUUUCUCAGUAAAAAAGCUGAGAUAUUUUUAAAAGACGAGAAGACCCUAUAAAUCUUUACAUUUUAUAUAGGGCUAUAGAUUAGAAGUUUUUAGUAGUCCUGUAAAAGCAUGUUUUAUUGGGGUGAUAUCAAGAUUUGAUAAACUUUUGACAGUUGAAACAUUAAUUUAUGAAUGAUUGAUCCGUGAAAGCGAUUAAUAAACUAAGUUACUUUAGGGAUAACAGCGUAAUUUUCUUGGAGAGUUCAUAUCGAUAAGAAAGAUUGCGACCUCGAUGUUGGAUUAAGGAAUUGGUUUAGGCGUAGCAGUUUUAAAUCAUAAGUCUGUUCGACUUUUAUAACCUU